Molecule: long non-coding RNA, 840 nt
Filed under: Rosa chinensis
Lineage: Eukaryota; Viridiplantae; Streptophyta; Magnoliopsida; Rosales; Rosaceae
Description: sRNA RchiOBHm_Chr2g0096931
Source: RNAcentral
CGGGUUGGACUACUUCUAACUGCUCCAAAAAACCCGGACUGCUCUUGGGUCUAGGGUUUGCAUCUUUUCUGCCUGUCUGGCGGCGCUCGAGGUCGGUGGGGGUCUCCUCGCCGUGGAUGAGCCGCUACCGGACGAGUGUUUAAAGGCUACUUGCUCGGGAGCUCUGCAAGAGGGGUGUUGGCUCAAGGUUUGGCUGAUGGUUUAGACGGCGAGUUCCGAACGACGUCUUGGACUCGGAGAGCGUCUUUACACUGUAGGUCGCCCUUCAUCAACGAUGGAGGGGUAGCUAGACGGUGGAUCUGCAUUGAAUCGGGCAUCGUGGGAAGCUAGUCCUGGCUUGGGCACUACGUUGCCAUGGCGGCGCGGCUUGCAGCGAUGUGACGAAGUGUUUGCGGCGCGGGUUGCGGAGUUGGGAUGCAGCGAUAAGGGCGAAGCUGCACCGGAUCCGUGUGCAGUCAGGGAGCUGAGCUGAAAGUUGGGCUUGGGUCAAGCCAUCCUUGUCGGGCCUCGUGGGUCACUCCUCUCUAGGCUGCCUUUGGGCUUCUAAGGUGGGCUGGAGUGUUUGCCCUAAGCCCAUCCCUAUGUUUUUAGUUUUGUCUAAAUACAAUAAAUUUCUUAUAUUAGGAAAUUAAGUACCGAUGUGCACUCUAAGUAUCUCUAGCGCCUCUGGAGUAGUACCAAUGGAGGGUCUCCGCUACCUCUACGUAUUUGAAUGCAUAAUGAGUAAGACUAUUUUUACGUACUACUUGUGUGUAUUACCACUAUCUUCUUGUCUGUCUAUGACCUUAACUGACAGCAUAAAUGUAUGUAAUGGCCUAUUCUGACUUGUGAUGGAUAUAC